UACGGAGGGUGCUAGCGUUGUUCGGAUUUACUGGGCGUAAAGGGCGCGUAGGCGGCUAAUCAAGUUGGGUGUGAAAGCCCGGGGCUCAACCUCGGAACUGCACUCAAAACUGGUUAGCUUGAGGACGAGAGAGGAAAGUGGAAUAUCCAGUGUAGAGGUGAAAUUCGUAGAUAUUGGAUGGAACACCGGUGGCGAAAGCGGCUUUCUGGCUCGUAUCUGACGCUGAGGCGCGAAAGCGUGGGGAGCAAACAGG
RNAcentral lists this ribosomal RNA (253 nucleotides) under uncultured bacterium. RNAcentral describes it as "partial 16S ribosomal RNA". It matches the Rfam family "Bacterial small subunit ribosomal RNA", at positions 524 to 776 of the family's 1533-position model. The record is from RNAcentral.